AUGCAAGUCGAACGGCUAACAGGAUUNGCUUGCUNNUCGCUGACGAGUGGCGGACGGGUGAGUAAUGCUUGGGAACUUGCCUUUGCGAGGGGGAUAACAGUUGGAAACGACUGCUAAUACCGCAUAANGUCUACGGACCAAACGGGGCUUNGGCUCCGGCGCAAAGAGAGGCCCAAGUGAGAUUAGCUAGUUGGUAAGGUAAAGGCUUACCAAGGCAACGAUCUCUAGCUGUUCUGAGAGGAAGAUCAGCCACACUGGAACUGAGACACGGUCCAGACUCCUACGGGAGGCAGCAGUGGGGAAUAUUGCACAAUGGGGGAAACCCUGAUGCAGCCAUGCCGCGUGUGUGAAGAAGGCCUUCGGGUUGUAAAGCACUUUCAGUUGUGAGGAAAAGUUAGUAGUUAAUACCUGCUAGCCGUGACGUUAACAACAGAAGAAGCACCGGCUAACUCCGUGCCAGCAGCCGCGGUAAUACGGAGGGUGCGAGCGUUAAUCGGAAUUACUGGGCGUAAAGCGCACGCAGGCGGUUUGUUAAGCUAGAUGUGAAAGCCCCGGGCUCAACCUGGGAUGGUCAUUUAGAACUGGCAGACUAGAGUCUUGGAGAGGGGAGUGGAAUUCCAGGUGUAGCGGUGAAAUGCGUAGAUAUCUGGAGGAACAUCAGUGGCGAAG
RNAcentral lists this ribosomal RNA (669 nucleotides) under Alteromonas sp. SP4. Its description in RNAcentral is "bacterial SSU rRNA". It matches the Rfam family "Bacterial small subunit ribosomal RNA", at positions 55 to 720 of the family's 1533-position model. Lineage: Bacteria; Pseudomonadati; Pseudomonadota; Gammaproteobacteria; Alteromonadales; Alteromonadaceae. The record is from RNAcentral.